GGCUCUGUGGCGCAAUGGAUAGCGCAUUGGACUUCUAGUGAUUUCCUUCAGGUGCAAUUCAAAGGUUGUGGGUUCGAGUCCCACCAGAGUCA
This 92-nucleotide transfer RNA is filed under the name Oreochromis niloticus (Nile tilapia). It matches the Rfam family "tRNA". From Rfam's summary of the family: Transfer RNA (tRNA) molecules are approximately 80 nucleotides in length. Their secondary structure includes four short double-helical elements and three loops (D, anti-codon, and T loops). The record is from Rfam by way of RNAcentral. RNAcentral also lists the same sequence under 1 other name. Lineage: Eukaryota; Metazoa; Chordata; Actinopteri; Cichliformes; Cichlidae.